CCGGGAAUUGGGUGGGGAGGGUGGCGGUUGUGCCGCGGCUCCGGAGCCGCUGUGACCUGGAGUGUGGCGGACAGAGAAGCGCAGCCGCCUCUCCACAGUUCCGCUAGCCGCGCCAAAUUCGCUCAGCCGCUCUGCAGAAUUUAUAAAAGGGAAAGAACUGAAUGAGCAACGCUUGGCUAACUUCCCCCUUCCCACCACAGGAAGAGAUUUUUGCUGUGAGGCGUGAGGGGACACUCCCUUAUCUGGAAGUCCCACGUCUCGUCGCAGCUUCAUUGCCUUCCCGCUGCAAAAAAGGGGUGGGGGCACAAUUUGCCAAGCCCUGUCCCCCAAUCUAGGACCUUUGAUCCCUGGAGUCUGCAGAUGUCGCUGUUAUAGGCUUGUCCCCCUCUCCACCCCAGACGUCUACCACCAGGUCUCCUUUCCCGGGAGCAAGCCCAUCCCUGGACGCUGCCGUUCAGCGCUUGGGAGACUGCAGGGGCGGGGAGCGUUGUGUGCCUGGUUUUGGGGUGCUGGGGGGCGAGGGCUUGUAGGUCCCGCGACCCACGGGGAGGGGGCAGGCGAGCACCCCGCUCCGGCCUCCGGCUAAUCCCCCUUCUCCAGCGUCGGUUCCCCGGUCCCGUGUUAUUCAAGACAGAAAAUAUUCAGCCCCAGAGCCUCCCCUGGGGAGGGGAGGGGAAGGAGGUGGAGUGGGAGGAGGUGGAUCCAGGGAGGAAGAAGCGAGAAAUCCGCCCCCGGGAAACAGCUCCGCGCGGCCACGGAGCGAGGCGCUUCUGUCACUUGGCGUUCGCGGGCGCCGGAGCUGGGCCCCGGCCCGGCCCGGCGAGGCGAGGGGAGAGUCCGGCGGCCGCCGCCCCGCCCCACGCCCUCCUGCGGCGGCCGAGAGCCCGGGGCCGGCCGGGGCAGGUCGCGGCGGUGCCUGGGAGCGGCCGG
This 930-nucleotide long non-coding RNA is filed under the name Homo sapiens (human). RNAcentral describes it as "HSALNT0160084". Lineage: Eukaryota; Metazoa; Chordata; Mammalia; Primates; Hominidae. The record is from RNAcentral.